Molecule: non-coding RNA, 82 nt
Organism: Geobacillus sp. Y4.1MC1
Lineage: Bacteria; Bacillati; Bacillota; Bacilli; Caryophanales; Anoxybacillaceae
Source: Rfam
GCGGGUGUGGCGGAAUUGGCAGACGCACCAGACUUAGGAUCUGGCGCCUUACGGCGUGGGGGUUCAAGUCCCUCCACCCGCA